GACGAACGCUGGCGGCGUGCUUAACACAUGCAAGUCGAACGAAAAUACCAAGCUUGCUUGGUUGAUUAGUGGCGAACGGGUGAGUAACACGUGAGUAAUCUGCCCCUUACUUUCCUGGAUAACUGCUCGAAAGGGUAGCUAAUACGGGAUAUUCUGACCAGCCUGCAUGGGUUGGUUUGGAAAGGUUGUUUUUCUGGUAAGGGAUGGGCUCGCGGCCUAUCAGCUUGUUGGUGGGGUGAUGGCCUACCAAGGCUUUGACGGGUAGCCGGCCUGAGAGGGUGGACGGUCACACUGGGACUGAGAUACGGCCCAGACUCCUACGGGAGGCAGCAGUGGGGAAUAUUGCACAAUGGGCGCAAGCCUGAUGCAGCGACGCCGCGUGAGGGAUGAAGGCCUUCGGGUUGUAAACCUCUUUCGUCAGGGAACAAGGCACUGCUUUUUUGGUGGUGUUGAGGGUACCUGGAUAAGAAGCGCCGGCUAACUACGUG
Molecule: ribosomal RNA, 488 nt
Filed under: uncultured bacterium
Lineage: Bacteria
Description: partial 16S ribosomal RNA
Rfam family: Bacterial small subunit ribosomal RNA
Source: RNAcentral